This 237-nucleotide ribosomal RNA is filed under the name Glomus sp. (unid). Lineage: Eukaryota; Fungi; Glomeromycota; Glomeromycetes; Glomerales; Glomeraceae. The record is from RNAcentral.
CAGUCGUACCGACGAGAAAUCAGCCCUUCGAGUGCGUACUUGUGGGCGUGCGUGAGUCUUUAACGGGCCUCGCUGUUUGCAAUGUUUGUGCUUUUUGGGUGUACUUUUUCGUAUGGUAGGCCAACGUCAGUUUCGAUCACUAUAAAAUGACUGGCGGAAUGUAGCUUCGAUUUCGGUUGAAGUGUUAUAGCCUCUGGUAGAUGUGGUAAUUGGGACUGAGGAUUACAACGAAUAUCC